UUUUUUUUUUUAAAUAAAAGGGCUACGAAGCAAUUUACGACAUAAAUACUGGAUUUCCGACCGUCGUCUUAUCUCAUGGCAACAGGACGCUGAUGUUGCUGCAGUGCGACAACUGGGACGACUUUACAAACCAACGAGCUUUUGAUCUGUUAUAACAGCUUCAUUUAGUAAGUUAUUUUGUUUAUGUUUAAACCAAAUGGUUGGUAAAUACUAUUUGAACCCGUCAACUAGGUAGUAAAUUCUACCACCGCUUUCGUUUAUAGUUAGCAGUCAAGCUAACUAAUGCAGGCUUUUGCUGCCUUCCCGGAUUAUCGGAAAAUUUGUGUUUGAGGAAGUCCCACAUUUUGACCUGCAUUUUACGGAGAAAAAGUGGUCGUUUCAGUCUUUGUCUUCUUUAGUUAGUAAUUACAUUUUAUUUAUAUACCACCUAUUUACUGAUACAUUUACAAAUUGUUUUACGCAGACAGCAUGUAUAUUGAACCAUGAUAGACAUUUGAAAAAAAUAAUACUAAUAUUUCAAAUCAAAUAAACAAUAUUGAGAAUAUUUCCCGACAUUACAAUAUAUAUUAAUUUAAAUUAAGUGGGCACUAAAACACCUGAGUUGCGUAAGAGUGUCUCCGAAUUUAGGUUCCCGGUGGUUCCCUGAAGGCAGCAAAUAAUCCCGUCCCUCAAUGUUAGCUAUUCUUGUAGUUAGCCGGUGGACCGCAGCAUCAGCACCAUUAUCAUCCACGCAAUGGCAGAAAGGAUUCAUCUCCUGCUUUGACUCUGCUAGAAGACGAGAUGAGUCGCUUCUGUUCGGACAACAAUAAUUUUCCCUAUGACAACAAUGUCCUAGUUUUGGACAUGGUGUUGGGGUCCCUGUGGGGAGUGCCUCAGCCCAUAAACUGGGAUAAUGUGGCCAAACUGGUACCAGGCUUCACUCCUAAGGAGGUAACUGCAGUGCUGUGCGCUCGCCGAUUUGAGGAGCUGAAGCCCACUGUCGGGUUUCCCCAUGUGGAUUAUCAGUGCAACGACCUAACAGAAGACAGCGGCUCACCAUCUGACAGCCUGUGUGCCCUGCUGGAGGCUGGAGAUCUGGUCAAGAGAGAUGGAAGCACUCAGAGCUGCAGCAAAGUUACAGCCUCCAAGUCACCAUCUGGAAGAGGUGGCACUGUGGAGAAGAAAGAGAAGCGAGUAUCAGUGGAAGAGGAUGAGAAACCUCAAAGGCCACGAGAUCUAAACAUGGUGAUCCAUGUGUGUGACGAGACAAAGAACCUGAAGCAGGAUUUCACCUGUCCUAGAGAUCUUCUGGUCAAAGAGAUGCGUUACUUUGCUGAGUAUCUGUCCGUGGACCAGCAGAGGUGGGAAGAGGUGGACAUCUCAGUUCACUGCGACGUGCAGAUCUUCGACUGGCUCAUGAACUACGUCAGGAGGAACUCGGCAGGAGAGGGGAACAAGGACAAACCCCGGCUGGAGCCCAGCAAUGUGAUCUCAAUCCUGAUCUCCUCCGAGUUCUUGAAGAUGGAUACGUUAGUGGAGGAGUGCAUCCAGUACUGCCACAAACACAUGAGCGCCAUUGUGGCCACUCCCUGCAACAUGAACUGCAUCAACAGCAACCUGGCCACACGGAUUGCUGAGCUCUUCAACCACAACGAGGCCGACGAUAUCCGGGACAAAAAAGAUAAAUUUAAGAGCAAACUGUUUCAGAAGAAAAUCGAGCAGCUGUUCGAUCCAAACCACCAGAACAAAGAUUCACCAGGAAACGCCUCGACUCUCUACAAGUGUGGUCUGUGCCUCAAGCUUCUGACCAAAGACACAGAGAGGAAGAUUUCCUGCAUUCCUGGGAAAAUCAACGUGGACGUUCAAGGACAGAUCAUCUAUACGCACACGAGACAGAAGAGCUGGGAUGUGCAUGAAUACAUCACAGCUUUAUAUGAGGAGCUCAAAUCCUGGGUCCUAGUUUACUGGAGAAUCUGGGGUACCAUCAACCACCUCACCUGCUCGCGGUGCCAGCAGGUGUUUGUCUGUGCGGAGCUGACCCACUGCAAAUACCACCCGGACAGCGUGCUGUACCCUGGCAUGGGUGCAGAGAAAGGCUGGCAUGGUGCAGGAAUUUACCUCUGCUGCAACCAGAGGGUGCUCCGCUUUGACCCCACCGGAAUACCAAAGGGUUGCAAGAUGCGGGAUCACAUUGUGAACGUACCAGAUGAAGAGAAGUGUGAUGAUGUGACUGCAGCCCGGAUCAGAGUCCUCAAUGAUCUGCUGCUGCACAGAGACGCAGUGUGUUUGUCUAAGACAUCCCCUGCAGAGAGCUCUGAGGAGAGUCUGUCCAGUGCAGAGAAAGUCCAAGACUGCAACGUUCUCCUAGAACCAACCCUCCUGGGACCUCUGAGAGGAGACGGAAACUCUUUUUCCUUUUUCAAGAACUGGACUCUUCAGCUGAAGCAGCAGUCUCUGCUGUCGGAGGAUGAGGAGUACACCACCGGGUCAGAGGUCACGGAAGACGAGGUCGGCGAUGAAGAGGAGCUGUCGAAGAAACAAGCUGCUAAGAAGGCCAAGAAGCUUCACAGACCUCUGAAGAAACAGUUGUCCUCUCCAAACUUCCAACGCAAAGAUAAAUCUGAGAAGUCACAGACCAGAGACAGCACACCUUUCACAGUGAGCCUCCAGAAGAAUAAGUGGGACAGCUCUCGCUCCCUGCGCUACAACCAGGACGCUCAGAGGGAAGAAGACCAGCGGCGCAUGGCGGAGAUUGUCGGCCACCUGACCAAGAUGAGGUUUGGAGACCAGGAACAGAGUAGAUCCAAGGAUACCAAAGAGUCUGCAGGAGGGAUCUAUGCUGGGCUGGAGGCGCAGUUUAAAGGCAGCGCUCAGACCAGGCAAACAGCAGACAAAGCACCCAGAUCCAAGACACGUUACGCUCAGGUCCGAACUACUUAAAGUUCCUGAAGGAAUAAAGAAACACUGAGCUGUUCGACAUGAACCCUGAAGAUGAGGAACUGUCUUUAGUUGAAGGAUGCUUGUUCUUCAGCUGCCCGCCUGGCCGUGGCUUCCAAGCCAGGUGUGGACUCCCUUUUCCUUCCUGUCUCUGUAUAUGGACCUCCAUCAACUGUGUUCUCUGUCGCUCAGCUCGCUGCGUGUUUGUGCAGCUGUGGCUGUUCCUUAAUAAACAAGACGCCCCCCCGGGUCCCGCUCUGUUCGUAUAGAACACCCACUGCUUCUUCAUGCACACAUCGGGACCUCACAGACAUCAGAAACUGUUGCUGGACCUUGAUCAUGUUGGUCGGGGCUGUAAAUUCUGUGCUUUCCUCUCAAGUCCUGCUGAAGCUCGGUUUGUCGGGACCUUAAAACCAACACCUGAUCGGAUGAGACAUGGCAGCAUAUAACCUUGGCAGGGGUUACUGGGUUCUAAGUGAUCAACUUUGCUCUACUUUUACCCAGAACAAGUCACCUUAGUCCCAACACUUGGCCAGUUGAUGGCAACAAUGUGACCAAAUGUUUUACUCCCUAGUGUGGCUGUUGCCACAGCGGUUCUGGUUGGUGGGGUGGCCAUGCAUACCCAGCUCUUCCUGUUAGGAUUGCUCACAGGGGUAUUAAUAACCCUGCUACACACCAGCACAUAAGGGGACAUGAAGAGGCAGUGUGGGCAGGGUCCCCCCCCCCCUUCGGGGGGUAAGUGGGUGGGGGCUAUUCCAGCUGUCCCUUCUUCUCCUCGACAGCAGAUGCCAAGAAUGGCCGAGGAUCUGUGGAUGUGGGUCAGGGGGUCCAGUUACAGGACUGAAUUAUGGUCCUUUGGAGAGGCCCGAUCGUAAGAACGUCAAAGUAAACCAGGAGCGAGAGGAGAAGAAGUGCAGAGCAAAAAUAAAAUCCCCAAGACAAACUCGAGCUGCUUUAUGAAUCCUGUCAUAGUCGAGGUAAAGUGGGGAUUCUUUGUUUAGGUUUGCUCCAUUACAAAGACAUAAGUAGACUUUUAAUUUUUGAUAGCUCCACUUUAAUGCAGAGAGACAAAAUAUUAAACAAAAAAACAUUUUGUAGAAAAACUAUUUUACAUCACAGUGAAAGAAAUCUUUGAUCGUUGAGCAAAACAUUACUUAAAGCUUGGAGGAACCUUGUUAGCAAGCAUAACGGCUCACCAGCAAGGAUUUGGACCCAAUCUUCUUCAGGUCUCUUGGGUGCUGCUCGGCGACUCAGCUUCAGCUCCCUCCACAGAUCUUCUGUAGGACCUUCAUUUGAUUUCCCUUUAGCCGCUCCAUUAUUGCGUUCCUUAUUGGGUUCGUCAUAAUCGAAUUGCUCCCUACAACUUACCUUCAGCGUUCUGGCCAAGAAAAGGUUCCAAAUUAUAAUGUUUCCACCACUUCCCUUAACUGUGGGUUUGUACUCCCAAUUCUGGUCUUAUCAGACAACAGAACUUUCUCCCAAACCUAAUCAUUUGGGUCAGGUGUGGCCAGCUCCAAUUCUCAAGAGCUGCUGUCCUGCAUGUUAUAGAUGCAUCCCUGCAGAGCAUUAUGUUCUGCAGAGACCUUCCUUGUAAUGAGCCUUUCAUUUGAUUUUGGUGUUUUUAUUUUUAACCAGCUGAACAUCUAAAACGCUGGAGUUGGCCACCUCUGGUUUAGAUGCACACCGCCCAACAUGACUCUCCUUUGUUGCCUUGUUGGUGUGUUGUGAGUCAUAACAACCCUGACCAACCCAAUCAGGACUCUGGACACUCCGUUAGUAGCAAAGCACCACCCUUCCCCCACUUAAUGCUGUGCACUGCUUGUCAGCAGGCUGAAUGAAGGCUGCUGCACUGGGUUAUUAUUCUAUAAGAAACUCAGGCUGGCCUGUGUCUACCUUUUGACCCAACUUCCAUUUCUGACUGAAGGAAAAAGGUUCACAUCCAAGAUUUUAUGGCACACGGCCCCAUUCAUUGACACCUUAAAUGUUCUGUACCCUUAGCAGAAAGAUAGUCCCAGAGCAUAAUGCAUCCAUCUUCAUGCUUGGCUGUGGGGAUGCUGUUCAUCAGGUCAUACUCAACAUUUCUCUUCCUCAUUAAUAGCAGACUGAGCCGUCAUCAAAAAGCUCGAUUCUGGUCUCUUCUGACCUUGACACUUUGUCCAAAGCUUUCUCUGAAACGUGGAGUUGUUCACUGUGUCUUCUGUAACAGAGGGCUGUUAGACCUCGUAGAUUACUGUGUAGUCUUUGUUGGUGACUGUGGUCCUACUGCCUUCAGACCAAUAACAAGCUCCUCUGAUGUAGGAUGGACGAAUAGAUGGAGAUACACUGCCUGGCCAUAAAAGAAAGUCACCACCUGGAUUUAACUAAGCAAGCCUCCCAUUGGAUAAUGACUGCCUGGGCGAUUAUGUUUCAGCUGGCAACAAGUUAUUUAACCCGAACCAUGUCGAAAAACACAUCCU
RNA transcript from Girardinichthys multiradiatus, 5372 nucleotides. It is a transcript of the gene named SANT and BTB domain regulator of CSR, with no coding region annotated. The record is from RefSeq and is a predicted model, not a curated record. The transcript has 22 exons. Lineage: Eukaryota; Metazoa; Chordata; Actinopteri; Cyprinodontiformes; Goodeidae.